GAAUUCGCCCUUAGAGUUUGAUCCUGGCUCAGAUUGAACGCUGGCGGCGUGCUUAACACAUGCAAGUCGAACGCGAAAGGGGGCUUCGGCUCCCGAGUAGAGUGGCGCACGGGUGAGUAACGCGUGGAUAAUCUGCCCUCUUGUUCGGGAUAACUGCUGGAAACGGUCGCUAAUACCGCAUAACAUACGGGAGGGACAUCCCUUUUGUAUCAAAGAUUUAUCGCUCGAAGAUGGGCUCGCGUCCGAUUAGGUAGUUGGUGAGGUAACGGCCCACCAAGCCGACGAUCGGUAGCCGGACUGAGAGGUUGAACGGCCACAUUGGGACUGAGACACGGCCCAGACUCCUACGGGAGGCAGCAGUGGGGGAUAUUGCACAAUGGGGGAAACCCUGAUGCAGCGACGCCGCGUGUAGGAAGACGGUCCUCUGGAUUGUAAACUACUGUCCCCAGGGACGAAGAUGACGGUACCUGGGGAGGAAGCUCCGGCUAACUACGUGCCAGCAGCCGCGGUAAUACGUAGGGAGCGAGCGUUGUCCGGAAUUACUGGGUGUAAAGGGAGCGUAGGCGGGGAUGCAAGUUGGGUGUUAAAUCUACCGGCUCAACUGGUAGUCGCACUCAAAACUGCAGCUCUUGAGUGAAGUAGAGGCAGGCGGAAUUCCUAGUGCAGCGGUGAAAUGCGUAGAUAUUAGGAGGAACACCAGUGGCGAAGGCGGCCUGCUGGGCUUUUACUGACGCUGAGGCUCGAAAGUGUGGGGAGCAAACAGGAUUAGAUACCCUGGUAGUCCACACCGUAAACGAUGAUUACUAGGUGUGGGGGGUCUGACCCCCUCCGUGCCGGAGCAAACGCAAUAAGUAAUCCACCUGGGGAGUACGGCCGCAAGGUUGAAACUCAAAGGAAUUGACGGGGGCCCGCACAAGCAGUGGAGUAUGUGGUUUAAUCCGAAGCAACGCGAAGAACCUUACCAAGUCUUGACAUCUGGAUGACAGGGACGUAACGGUCCCCUUACUUCGGUACAUCCAAGACAGGUGGUGCAUGGUUGUCGUCAGCUCGUGUCAUGAGAUGUUGGGUUAAGUCCCGCAACGAGCGCAACCCUUAUCUUCAGUAGCCAGCAGGUAAAGCCGGGCACUCUGGAGAGACUGCCGGGGAUAACCCGGAGGAAGGUGGGGAUGACGUCAAAUCAUCAUGCCCCUUAUGAUUUGGGCUACACACGUGCUACAAUGGCGUAAACAGAGGGAAGCGAGCCCGCGAGGGGGAGCAAAUCCCAAAAAUAACGUCCCAGUUCGGAUUGUAGUCUGCAACCCGACUACAUGAAGCUGGAAUCGCUAGUAAUCGCGGAUCAGAAUGCCGCGGUGAAUACGUUCCCGGGUCUUGCACUCACCGCCCGUCA
Molecule: ribosomal RNA, 1387 nt
Filed under: uncultured bacterium
Lineage: Bacteria
Description: bacterial SSU rRNA
Rfam family: Bacterial small subunit ribosomal RNA
Source: RNAcentral